UACGUAGGGGCCAAGCGUUGUCCGGAUUUAUUGGGCGUAAAGAGCUCGUAGGCGGUUCGGCAAGUCGACUGUGAAAUCUCCACGCUCAACGUGGAGGGGUCAUUCGAUACUGCCGUGACUUGAGUACGGUAGGGGAGUGUGGAAUUCCCGGUGUAGCGGUGAAAUGCGCAGAGAUCGGGAGGAACACCCGUAGCGAAGGCGGCACUCUGGGCCGAUACUGACGCUGAGGAGCGAAAGCGUGGGGAGCGAACAGG
Molecule: ribosomal RNA, 254 nt
Filed under: uncultured bacterium
Lineage: Bacteria
Description: partial 16S ribosomal RNA
Rfam family: Bacterial small subunit ribosomal RNA
Source: RNAcentral